Long non-coding RNA from Xiphias gladius (swordfish), 471 nucleotides. RefSeq lists it as uncharacterized. The transcript has 4 exons. The record is from RefSeq and is a predicted model, not a curated record. Lineage: Eukaryota; Metazoa; Chordata; Actinopteri; Istiophoriformes; Xiphiidae.
CUAUUCAAUCAGUGACGAAACAAUCCAUAUAUAUUCAACGUCGCUAGAAUAUGACGUCCUUCCUGGGGACAGUGCCUUAGCUGUCGCCUCCCCUCUUCGACAUGAGAGCUAAGUGGAGAAAGAAGCGCAUGCGCAGGCUGAAGCGUAAAAGGAGAAAGAUGAGGCAGAGGUCAAAGUAAACUGUCCUCUUCGCCAUGGCUGUGACAUCAAAUGUUGCCGACUACCAGACUGGUGAGCACAGCUGAAGACCCAGGACCCCUCCCGGUGUCAGGUCUGAGGCCAGUGGCAUCCGUAUCAACCAGAGGCAUCGGAGCAGCAGCAGCAGCAGCUGAUUGAUGCUGGGGAGCUGAUUCAAGAUCUGCUGGAUUUCAGGCCUUUCCUCUGGGACCUUCUGGACUCUUUGUUCUUAAUUCCUCAACUUUUGUCAUUUUUUUUGUUUAUACUGUGAUUAAAGGUUUUGGUUUAAAAGAA